ACUCUCGUAAUGGGAUUGCUGGGCUUGUUGGAGCAGCUCCUGACAUGCGCACACUACGAUGAAACCUGACAGGAAACUGGUAGCUUUGUGUCGUGUUGCAUGAAGACUAUACUGUUCACUGUCAAGCACUUCUGUGGCCACUGAAGAGGAGUCAGGCUCCUGGGAGAUGGCUGCUACUACCAGCCUGAAAGAAAGUGUCUGUGGUGAAGAGAGAACUCCUUUGAAAUGGCAAUUUAUGGCUGGGAAGGAAAGUGAGAUUAAAAAUACCCUUCUGUCUCUGAAGCUGCAAUGAACAAUAGUGUAGUAUCCUUUGGAAAUACCUGCUCCUGAAGUGUCUUCUCCAUAUCCUUCAGUUGCACAAUUUUCCUAAAGUGGUUUUAUUCCAGACCUUCCUUAUCAACCCCACCCUGCUCAAAAUUUGCAGUUCCAUUUCCCCCAGUCAGCACACACGUUCCACUUAUUUCAGUUUUCACAUCACUCCAGAAGCAGAAAAAUGGGUCUUGAUACAGUUAUCAAAAAUUUUAUUUUUUCCUAAAUAUCACAGAAUUAGCCAGCACUAGUUACCUUCUGCCUUCUUUAUCCCAUUAGUUCUUCCUCCUUUUUUUCCAUUCUUACUCUGUCAAGCCUGAAACAGACAACAGGAGCUAGGAAUGGACAUGAGGAAAUAAUUUCUACCUUCCUUCUACACUCUUGGGUCUCACUCCUGACUUCUUUUGACCUGGUUACAGAAUUAAUAAAGAACGGAGGAUAAUAGCAGUAGGAAGUGUCACAUAGCUGCAUGGUGAUGACUGCUGGCACCUAUUGGUAUUGCUGUAUUAAAUAUAUGCACAUGGAAGAAGUGCCUUCACCUGGGACUACUGUCUGCAACCCAGAAGGAGAGCCAACAGUAGCAUGGAUCUGCUCCUUAUUCUUCUCACUUCAUAAUAUAAGCUGAAGUCAUCAGCUUACACAUGUCACACUGGAAGCAGUGUUAUUUUUAACCUCCAUUAGUUCCUUGGUCUGGUUAACCUGUGGCAUUAGAAGCAUUUUCACAUAAUGGCAGCUACUGGAACCAAAGGAGAAGAUGGCAGGGGAAGUGGACGGACGACAAGCUUUGCUGCCAGCAGGUGCAGCAGAGCCAUAACCAGCAGUGGGGCAAGGACAGGGAUGGCUGUGUGAAACAGGAACUGCUUCUGAAUCAUGAGCAUGGUUCAGUAAUGCUUCUCUAUUCGUUGUGCAAAGUCCAUCAUUUGUCUGAGGGAUGAACAAACUCAGCUGUCUACAGCAAUGUGCAUGCAAUCAGCUUUUCUGUAAAAUACCCCAUUCAUCUUCCUUGCCCUGUUCACAAAUGCCUUCUCAGAUGUUAAAUGGCUUCCAUUUAUACUGAACUCAGAAGCUGUGCCUCUAUCAGCACCUUCUUUAGGAUUUCUAUGUUAAAGUCCCGGUCAUCAGUAUAUAAACCUGAAAAUAUAGAUGGAAAAAAAAAAAAACACUGAAAUGUCAUUGCCAUUUAUAAAAAU
This 1499-nucleotide long non-coding RNA is filed under the name Phasianus colchicus (ring-necked pheasant). RNAcentral describes it as "lncRNA (ENSPCLG00000013279.1)". Lineage: Eukaryota; Metazoa; Chordata; Aves; Galliformes; Phasianidae. The record is from RNAcentral.